RNAcentral lists this ribosomal RNA (475 nucleotides) under uncultured soil bacterium. RNAcentral describes it as "bacterial SSU rRNA". It matches the Rfam family "Bacterial small subunit ribosomal RNA", at positions 26 to 519 of the family's 1533-position model. The record is from RNAcentral.
AGGACGAACGCUGGCGGCGUGCUUAACACAUGCAAGUCGAGCGGUAAGGCCUUUCGGGGUACACGAGCGGCGAACGGGUGAGUAACACGUGGGUGAUCUGCCCUGCACUCUGGGAUAAGCCUGGGAAACUGGGUCUAAUACCGGAUAUGACCUGCUCUCGCAUGGGGGUGGGUGGAAAGAUUUAUCGGUGCAGGAUGGGCCCGCGGCCUAUCAGCUUGUUGGUGGGGUAAUGGCCUACCAAGGCGACGACGGGUAGCCGACCUGAGAGGGUGACCGGCCACACUGGGACUGAGACACGGCCCAGACUCCUACGGGAGGCAGCAGUGGGGAAUAUGCACAAUGGGCGAAAGCCUGAUGCAGCGACGCCGCGUGAGGAUGAAGGCCUUCGGGUUGUAAACCUCUUUCAGCAGGACGAAGCGCAAGUGACGGUACUUGCAGAAGAAGCAACCGGCUAACGUACGUGCCACAGACCCGC